RNAcentral lists this signal recognition particle RNA (97 nucleotides) under Planctomycetota bacterium. RNAcentral describes it as "signal recognition particle sRNA small type". It matches the Rfam family "Bacterial small signal recognition particle RNA". Rfam says of the family: The signal recognition particle (SRP) is a universally conserved ribonucleoprotein involved in the co-translational targeting of proteins to membranes. Archaeal SRP consists of a 7S RNA and homologues of the eukaryotic SRP19 and SRP54 proteins. In most bacteria, the SRP consists of a 4.5S RNA and the Ffh protein (a homologue of the eukaryotic SRP54 protein). The record is from RNAcentral. Lineage: Bacteria; Pseudomonadati; Planctomycetota.
GGUCGGGCCCUGAGCAAUGGGACGGUGCGAACCUGGUCAGGCCGGGAACGGAGCAGCCAUAAGCAUGCGGUUCCAUGUCUCGGGAUUCCUGGCCGUC